GGCGGCAGGUCUNAAACAAACGGAGCUAGGGGGUGUAGCAAUACAUCACCGGCGGACGGGUGCUUUAUCCGUGGGAAUAUACGAAAAGGUACGGAACAACUGAGGGAAACUUCAGCUAAUACCGUAUACGUCCUAACGGAGAAAGAUUUAUCGCCGAAGGAUUAGCCCGCGCUCGAUUAGCUAGUUGGUGAGGUAAUGGCCUACCAAGGCGACGAUCCAUAGCUGGUCUGAGAGGAUGAUCAGCCACACUGGGACUGAGACACGGCCCAUACUCCUACGGGAGGCAGCAGUGGG
This 294-nucleotide ribosomal RNA is filed under the name uncultured Alphaproteobacteria bacterium. RNAcentral's name for it is "partial 16S ribosomal RNA". It matches the Rfam family "Bacterial small subunit ribosomal RNA", at positions 38 to 358 of the family's 1533-position model. The record is from RNAcentral. Lineage: Bacteria; Pseudomonadati; Pseudomonadota; Alphaproteobacteria.